UGUGGCAAUCUGCGUAGCCUCCAACUGUCCCAGCUUUUCAUUUGUCACCUGCAAGUCGUUAUCAAGUCCCUCUUUGUGCAGCUUCACUUUCCUUUCAAAAUGUUGUAUGAUGCCCUUAGUGCGAGGUGUAAGUGGUGUUUCGUUACCAUCAUCUGCCCCUGGCAUGGUUCAAAGACAAAGACAUCAAAAAGGCAAGUGAAGAAAUAAAAGCCCUACAACUACUAGGAUGUAGCUACAGCAAGUCGCUCACACUCAACCUGUAACACAAGUUCUUACCAAUUCUUACCUUGCUUGACAGGAGGGGUCGUCUGCUAACAAGUGUACAGCAAUGGACGAAGUGUAUCGGUGCUGCAGCACAAGACCUGUCAAGCUGUAGAGUAUGUGGAGCUAUAGGUGGGCUGAAACAAGGAACGAACUAGCACCACGUUAGUUAUAAAAGCGAGCUGAAUAAACGCUCAACGGUGGUACUGUGCUGGUCCUAGCCUAGACCGUGCUAGAGACGCGAGCCUGGACACAAAGGGAAAACACAGCACACCACUAGAAACAAAAUGAGCAGCCCUACUGGAAACAAAAGGAACAACAAUCCCCUUCUUUUGAUUUUUUUUCUUUUUUCUUUCUUUCUUUCUUUUUUUUCUUUAUUUUUUUUUCUUUCUCUUUUCUUUUUUUUGGGGAACCUCAAAACCUGAUUAUAUAAACGAAAUAGUACAAAAUAUCACUUCACCACUCUCACGCUCUCACUAGAGUAAGGCUGAACCUCAAAAUUCAAUAUAUCUAGCACAAGUAUGAAGUGCUAUCUUUCCUUUUGGAUCACGUUGAUGGAAACGCAGAAUAGACAAACAAGUGGCUGCACCUAUUAUCAAGAUCUACUCAAAUUCCAACCCACAAUAGAUUGGACGCAGUUGUGACUAGAUGGUGACAAGAACUCAAAACUCUAAAGGACUAAACUAAAACCAGCACUGGACACGAUCGAAGCAAACACUCAUUCAACCAGCCCUAACUAAGUAGUACUAGCCACGGCACAAAGGAUUUAUAGGAUUAUGGAAAACAAAUCCGCUAUAUUUUUUGUCUUUUUUUUUGGACUAUAGGAAAAACAAACACGAAGAAUUGGAAAUCUCUCACCGAUAAACCUUGCUCUGAUUACCAACUGAUGUGAACCCACUAGGGUUUUCGCCUGAUCUUUCGAUGAGAGGCGCUGGAUAACUCGAUUAGUGAAUGGAGAUGACGUUCACGGCCCGACUACAGCCCUCAAGACUGCGCCUUAGCAACCGAUACACCGCCUCCAAUGGCUGUCACGAUCUUGUGGAGCGCAACACCCGGCCACUAGGGCACUCGUCCUGCAAGCAAUCGAAGAACCAGCAAGAACAAGUAGAACAAGUACUAAAUUACCAGAUGUAAAUGAAGGUUCAAACUCAAUCUCUAAUGAAGUGGGGUUUCGAAAACAAGAAGACGGGUGGCUGGAUCAGCACGCGCGCUUACAAGCAAGUAGCGAAGGCUAAACUUUAUCUAAUCAAAACCCAGUUGUUCAUGGCGGCUCUAGAUGUAAAUAAAUAGAGGGGAGGACAAUCAAAGGGGUGCUAGAGUCAUCCUCCAACCCUAGGACGCGUCCCUAAUGGACUCAACUUGAUACAUGGGCCAUUGGUCCAAAAUAGGGUGACGCAGCACCAAAACAGAAAAAGGUGUCGGCACGAAAACAAGGACUGCGUCCGACUCAUAAGCUGCAUAGAUAUGUAGUUGGACCCAUUGGAAAGUAGACUUCAUG
This 1759-nucleotide long non-coding RNA is filed under the name Sorghum bicolor (sorghum). Its description in RNAcentral is "long non-coding RNA (SBIC_LNC017883)". The record is from RNAcentral. Lineage: Eukaryota; Viridiplantae; Streptophyta; Magnoliopsida; Poales; Poaceae.